CAGUGAUAAACUGGAGGAAGGUGGGGAUGACGUCAAGUCAUCAUGGCCCUUACGACCAGGGCUACACACGUGCUACAAUGGCGCAUACAAAGAGAAGCGACCUCGCGAGAGCAAGCGGACCUCAUAAAGUGCGUCGUAGUCCGGAUUGGAGUCUGCAACUCGACUCCAUGAAGUCGGAAUCGCUAGUAAUCGUGGAUCAGAAUGCCACGGUGAAUACGUUCCCGGGCCUUGUACACACCGCCCGUCACACCAUGGGAGUGGGUUGCAAAAGAAGUAGGUAGCUUAACCUUCGGGAGGGCGCUUACCACUUUGUGAUUCAUGACUGGGGUGAAGUCGUAACAAGGUAACCGUAGGGGAACCUGCGGUUGGAUCACCUCCU
This 379-nucleotide ribosomal RNA is filed under the name Salmonella enterica subsp. enterica serovar Infantis. Its description in RNAcentral is "partial 16S ribosomal RNA". It matches the Rfam family "Bacterial small subunit ribosomal RNA", at positions 1153 to 1531 of the family's 1533-position model. RNAcentral also lists the same sequence under 4 other names. Lineage: Bacteria; Pseudomonadati; Pseudomonadota; Gammaproteobacteria; Enterobacterales; Enterobacteriaceae. The record is from RNAcentral.